RNAcentral lists this non-coding RNA (201 nucleotides) under Fusobacteriia bacterium 4572_132. RNAcentral's name for it is "6S RNA". It matches the Rfam family "6S / SsrS RNA". Rfam says of the family: E. coli 6S RNA was the first non coding RNA to be sequenced, but its function was unknown until recently. It consists of 184 nucleotides that fold into an extended hairpin structure with a large single-stranded internal bulge. Lineage: Bacteria; Fusobacteriati; Fusobacteriota; Fusobacteriia. The record is from RNAcentral.
UAAAACCUGGAUUGUUCGCCUUUUUAUAUGAGAAUUUGGCCUAACACUAAAUUAAUGGGGUUAGCUCUUAUUAAGGUAACUUGGAUUAGUCACGAUAAGACAAUUGAGCUUAUACGGACUCCAUAUACUGUAAUAAUCUGACUACCACUUGGUCUUGAUAAGACCAAAUCCACUUAAUUAGGACGGCAAUCUGGGCUUUAU